Molecule: long non-coding RNA, 717 nt
Organism: Panicum virgatum (switchgrass)
Lineage: Eukaryota; Viridiplantae; Streptophyta; Magnoliopsida; Poales; Poaceae
Exons: 2
Source: RefSeq, a predicted model, not a curated record
GGGAGGUCCCGGGUCGCGCGCGGCGGCGGGAGGAGGAAAGCCGACGCGCAGCCUCCGCAUUCGGGUGGGGCGCGAGGGAGGAGGAUAGACCGGCUCGCCGAGGCGGUGAGGGUUGUCGGGAGGGACGUGGAGGCGGGGGGUGGCGGGUGCCGACAUCCUGGAGCUGGCCAUGGCGAGGGGGGCCAUGUUUGCGUGGCUGAGCUACUGGCCGGAGGAAGGGUUCUCCAAACAAGACCACCCCUACUGACGCAUGGCGCUUCACCUCUGCUUAGGUGACAUGUUGAUGGGUUCGUGUGGGAUUGCGAAGGCAAGCACCAGGACCAUGUGGGAGGAAAACAGCAGAAGAUUUGGAUGCUGCUCCGAUCUCUUUCAUGGUGUCAAAGUAUUGAGUGAGCAGAACCAAAUCCAUCACAUCCUUAGCUGAAGUCCCAGGCACAUUGCCGCUAAAGCCAAGCACACUAUCUCUUAGCCCAUCAACUAUGGCUUGACGCUGCCUUGCUAUACCAAGGCCAGAGAGAUACUUGGCUUCAGCCUCACCCUCAGCCCUCUUGAUCUGAAUUAUCUUUUCUGCCUCUGCCUUCUCAUUUGCUGCAACACGGAGUCUUGCAGCUGAACACAAUGAUGAAAGAAAAGGAGGUUAGUACUAAACAUCGAACCGUAGUAUAUUACUGUGAUAUCAGCAGUGAGUGAAUGAUUGAUCUGAUACUCUCUGCAGAA